Molecule: ribosomal RNA, 774 nt
Filed under: uncultured Neocallimastigales
Lineage: Eukaryota; Fungi; Neocallimastigomycota; Neocallimastigomycetes; Neocallimastigales
Description: partial large subunit ribosomal RNA
Rfam family: Eukaryotic large subunit ribosomal RNA
Source: RNAcentral
CGCAUCUGUGCAUGCAGCAUAUCAAUAAGCGGAGGAAAAGAAACUAACAAGGAUUCCCCUAGUAACGGCGAGUGAAGCGGGAAGAGCUCAAAUUUGAAAUCUUAAAGGGUUUCCCUUUACGAAUUGUAGUUUAAAGAAGUGUUUUCUGUUGAGGUUUUGGUAAAAGUUCUUUGGAAUAGGACAUCAUAGAGGGUGAGAAUCCCGUAUUUGACCUUUACUUUCAACUUUGUGAUACACUUUCAAAGAGUCGGAUUGUUUGGGAAUGCAGUCCAAAAUGGGUGGUAAAUUUCAUCUAAAGCUAAAUAUUGGCGAGAGACCGAUAGCGAACAAGUACCGUGAGGGAAAGAUGAAAAGAACUUUGAAAAGAGAGUUAAACAGUACGUGAAAUUGUCAAAAGGGAAGCGUUUGACACCAGUGUUGUUUUUCUGAAAAUCAAUUAAAGAACUGUUUAUGCUAAGUUGUUUAGACUUUAUCAGCUAUCUGUUUAGUUUUGAGCUUUUCUUUAAUGCACUUUUCAGCUAACAAGUCAACAUCAAUUUCUUUUGCUGUAAAAAAGCUUGAGGAAGGUGGCUUGAGAUUCGUCUUAAGUGUAUAUAGCCUCUUGCCUAUGCAGUCGGAGAGAUUGAGGUCUGCAGCGUAGAUCCUUCGGGGCUAAAUGCAUUUGUGCUAAGUUAUAGCAUUUUAUAGACAACUUGUUGACUAUGAUUUGUCUUGUAGCUUACUCGCUUAUGUUAUUUUACCUACGCUUAGGAUGUUGAGUCAUCACACAUCUCU